RNAcentral lists this transfer RNA (71 nucleotides) under Marmota monax (woodchuck). RNAcentral's name for it is "tRNA.Gly". It matches the Rfam family "tRNA". From Rfam's summary of the family: Transfer RNA (tRNA) molecules are approximately 80 nucleotides in length. Their secondary structure includes four short double-helical elements and three loops (D, anti-codon, and T loops). The record is from RNAcentral. Lineage: Eukaryota; Metazoa; Chordata; Mammalia; Rodentia; Sciuridae.
GGGGUUGUGGCUCAGUGGUAGAGCACUCACCUCCCAUGUGCGAGACCCUGGGUUCAAUUCUCAACACCACA